CCCCAGUGACCGACAUGCUAAUCAGGACCAGCGGCAGUCGAUAAUCAGCGGCAUGAAAAAGGCCAUCGGACACGGAAUUGGUGGUUUCAGGAAGGGAUGUCAGGGAGGAAGCUGUUGGUGUUCUCCGAGGCCCAGACAAGCCACAGGGGGAUUAGCCCUUUGUGCUGAUGAAAGAGUCCAGGCGGUCACGGGUUCGACCACAGAUGGCAACCGCUACUACUAGAUGAUGUAUGAAUGAACGCAGUGGUGUUUCAGCAGACUCCACACCCUAAAGAUGAACUGCCUGAUUCCAGCCUCAUUUCAGCCCAUUGAUCACGUCUCAUACAGUCUGAGAUAGACGGCCAACGCUGAAAGAAGGGGCCACGCCAUUAGAGCCUGAGACCAUCCAUUUUACUGCAGAUCAGUGGGACGGUUCCUGAAAUGGACCUCGGAGCAGCGUGUAUCAGACACACACCAACUCUUCUUCUGCUCAACCGAGCUCGUCCACGCCCUCCCAGGCCUGUCCUCCCUCUCCCCGUUUGAGACGGCAUGACGACCUGGAACAGUUGGUACAUAAAAAAAAUAAUAAAAAAUACUAAUGGUGCCUGGAGAAGGUUUUGUUGGCUUGCGUCCUUUGUCGUGCCACUCUGAUUAACAGGUUGCACCAAAAACAAAGUCCCUUUAUGAUAAAGCAAUGAAUCUUUU
Molecule: long non-coding RNA, 684 nt
Organism: Poeciliopsis prolifica (blackstripe livebearer)
Lineage: Eukaryota; Metazoa; Chordata; Actinopteri; Cyprinodontiformes; Poeciliidae
Exons: 3
Source: RefSeq, a predicted model, not a curated record